RNAcentral lists this long non-coding RNA (216 nucleotides) under Corvus moneduloides (New Caledonian crow). RNAcentral's name for it is "lncRNA (ENSCMUG00000017414.1)". Lineage: Eukaryota; Metazoa; Chordata; Aves; Passeriformes; Corvidae. The record is from RNAcentral.
UUCUUCCUCGGGGAUCUGGUCUCAUGUGUUUCUCUGCAUUUUUAGGCACCUAGACAUCUUUUAGCUGUUGCUCAGAUGGCCUGCAGCCCCUCUGCAGAUUACAAAUGGGUGUCAGUCUUCUGCCUUGCCUUGUACUGAUGCAGGUAAAACAGGAGAUACCAUGGGAUGAGGAGAAAGGCACAGAGUGAAGACAAAGCAGUGAAGAGGAUGUUUGCC